This 707-nucleotide ribosomal RNA is filed under the name uncultured Lachnospiraceae bacterium. RNAcentral describes it as "bacterial SSU rRNA". It matches the Rfam family "Bacterial small subunit ribosomal RNA", at positions 28 to 734 of the family's 1533-position model. The record is from RNAcentral. Lineage: Bacteria; Bacillati; Bacillota; Clostridia; Lachnospirales; Lachnospiraceae.
GAUGAACGCUGGCGGCGUGCUUAACACAUGCAAGUCGAACGAAGCGCUUUACCGGAUUUCUUCGGAAUGAAAGUUUUGUGACUGAGUGGCGGACGGGUGAGUAACGCGUGGGUAACCUGCCUCAUACAGGGGGAUAACAGUUAGAAAUGACUGCUAAUACCGCAUAAGACCACAGGACCGCAUGGUCCAGUGGUAAAAACUCCGGUGGUAUGAGAUGGACCCGCGUCUGAUUAGCUAGUUGGUAAGGUAACGGCUUACCAAGGCGACGAUCAGUAGCCGACCUGAGAGGGUGACCGGCCACAUUGGGACUGAGACACGGCCCAAACUCCUACGGGAGGCAGCAGUGGGGAAUAUUGCACAAUGGGGGAAACCCUGAUGCAGCGACGCCGCGUGAGCGAUGAAGUAUUUCGGUAUGUAAAGCUCUAUCAGCAGGGAAGAAUUAGGACGGUACCUGACUAAGAAGCACCGGCUAAAUACGUGCCAGCAGCCGCGGUAAUACGUAUGGUGCAAGCGUUAUCCGGAUUUACUGGGUGUAAAGGGAGCGUAGACGGAGAGGCAAGUCUGAUGUGAAAACCCGGGGCUCAACCCCGGGACUGCAUUGGAAACUGUUUUUCUAGAGUGUCGGAGAGGUAAGUGGAAUUCCUAGUGUAGCGGUGAAAUGCGUAGAUAUUAGGAGGAACACCAGUGGCGAAGGCGGCUUACUGGAC